RNAcentral lists this long non-coding RNA (416 nucleotides) under Pan troglodytes (chimpanzee). RNAcentral's name for it is "long non-coding RNA NONPTRT012631". Lineage: Eukaryota; Metazoa; Chordata; Mammalia; Primates; Hominidae. The record is from RNAcentral.
UCCCUAGCUCUUACAACAAAUACCCAGUUCCUGUGGGUUUGUAACAUCUCGUUAUUCCUGAAGGAACAGAUCUGGAAGAAGGCAGACUUUUCUGUAAGCCCAAAAAUUCUUCAGGGUUCCUGGUCGCCCAGCAUGGCCAGGGUCUCAAACCCUCUAAUUCAAUCUGCUCUAAUGGAGUCAAGCUGACAGUAAAGAGAAGAUCAGAAACAGCGAGUCUAAUCUGCCUAUAUGGGAGAAAAUUCAGCAAACAGGAACCAGCUCAGAGACCAAGAAAACCAAACAAGGUUAUUAACCCACAUCAGAACACCAGAGAGAUAACAAGAAGUUGGUUCCAAGAUGAAAAAUGCAAGAGAGAAGCAGAUUGUGGAACAAAAGAGAGGAUGGUCCAUGUUCAUAUACACCUGAUUGUACUUAGA